AUGGCCAUGAAAACAGGAAUGCUUCUUUUUAUUGCUUUAUGGGCAGGUGUUGAUGGCCAGACUCUUACAGAAUCUGAAUCAGUGGUUAAAAGACCUGAAGAAUCCCACAGACUGACCUGUACAGGCUCUGGAUUCACAUUCAGCAGCUAUGCUAUGGCCUGGGUUAGACAGGCUCCUGGAAAAGGGCUGGAGUGGAUUGCUUUGAUAGGCACUUCUAGUUCUCCUAUCCGUUACUCCCAGUCAGUCCAGGGUAGAUUCACCAUCUCCAGAGAUGAUUCCAGCAGUAAACUCUAUCUACAGAUGAACAGUUUGAAGACUGAAGACACAGCAGUUUAUUACUGUGCCCGAGAGACACAGUGA
Pelmatolapia mariae (spotted tilapia) is the source of this 360-nucleotide non-coding RNA. The record is from the annotation of a RefSeq genome assembly. NCBI's taxonomy places the organism in Eukaryota, Metazoa, Chordata, Actinopteri, Cichliformes, Cichlidae.